RNAcentral lists this ribosomal RNA (257 nucleotides) under uncultured Glomus. RNAcentral's name for it is "partial 18S ribosomal RNA". It matches the Rfam family "Eukaryotic small subunit ribosomal RNA", at positions 624 to 886 of the family's 1831-position model. Lineage: Eukaryota; Fungi; Glomeromycota; Glomeromycetes; Glomerales; Glomeraceae. The record is from RNAcentral.
AAGCUCGUAGUUGAAUUUCGGGGUCAGUAGGUUGGUCGUGCCACCGGUACGUACUGGUCUCACUGAUUCCUCCUUCCUGAUGAGCUGUAAUGCCAUUAAUUUGGUGUUGCAGGGAAUCUGGACUGUUACUUUGAAAAAAUUGAGUGUUUAAAGCAGGCUAACGCUUGAAUACAUUAGUAUGGAAUAAUGAAAUAGGACGUUCGAUCCUAUUUUGUUGGUUUCUAGGAUUGACGUAAUGAUUAAUAGGGAUAGUUGGG